UGUCCUGUCCCUCCAGCCCUUGUCCCCAGUCCCUCUCCAGCUCUCCUGGAGCCCCUUUAGGCUCUGGAAGGGGCUCCAAGGUCUCCCUGGAUCCUUCCCUUCCCCAGCUGAGCCCCCCCAGCUCUCCCAGCCUGGCUCCAGAGCAGAGGGGCUCCAGCCCUGGCAGCAUCUCUGGGGCCUCCUCUGGACUCUCUGCAGCAGCUCCACGUCCUUGUGCUGCUGUUGCCCAGGACUGUGAGGGGACGGUUCUCGGGGCACGCUGUGACUCUCAGGCGGCCCUGAUCCCCUCAGGGGGACCGUUGGAGCUCGGCUGGUGCUGAGGCGGCCAUGCCGGCCCUGGAGCCGCCCAGGCCCCCUGGUACCCCCAGACUGCUGGCCCGGGACAGGUUGUCGGUUAAAUGUUUGGAGAAGGAGCCGAGCCCAGGAAAGUGGGAGUUGCCCAGAGAGGCUCCUCAGUGUGAUCCAGGUUGCGGGUUAAAUGUUUGGAGAAGGAGCCGAGCCCAGGAAAGUGGGAGUUGCCCAGAGAGGCUCCUCAGUGUGAUUCAGGUACCGUGAUCUGUUGGACUGACUGUGGGAUCGAGCAUAAAUGCUGUUAUCAGGUGCCUGUUUCUUACCCUCACAGAACUGGUACUGAAUUUUUCAUUUCUGACAAACCUGUGGCCUGGAGCAGUGACUUCUGCAUUUUCUGUCAUGUAUAGGACGUGUAAAAAUAUUCCUCUGUGAGAUACACUCCUCUACUUGAAAUUCCCACAGAAGUCCAUUGUUGUGCAACA
This is a long non-coding RNA of Pseudopipra pipra, 773 nucleotides long. RefSeq lists it as uncharacterized. The record is from RefSeq and is a predicted model, not a curated record. Lineage: Eukaryota; Metazoa; Chordata; Aves; Passeriformes; Pipridae. The transcript has 3 exons.